Molecule: ribosomal RNA, 253 nt
Filed under: uncultured prokaryote
Description: partial 16S ribosomal RNA
Rfam family: Bacterial small subunit ribosomal RNA
Source: RNAcentral
UACGGGGGAUGCGAGCGUUGUCCGGAUUCACUGGGCGUAAAGGGCGCGUAGGCGGCCGUUUCAGUCGGUUCUGUAAGUGCGGGGCUCAACCCCGUGAUGGGACCGGGACGGGACGGCUGGGGCGCGGCAGAGGGAGACGGAAUGCCGGGUGUAGUGGUGAAAUGCGUAGAGAUCCGGCGGAACACCGGUGAUGAAGAUGGUCUCCUGGGCCGAGGGCCGACGCUGAGGCGCGAGAGCGUGGGGAGCGAACCGG